Molecule: unclassified non-coding RNA, 372 nt
Filed under: uncultured Gammaproteobacteria bacterium
Lineage: Bacteria; Pseudomonadati; Pseudomonadota; Gammaproteobacteria
Description: contains 16S-23S intergenic spacer region
Source: RNAcentral
UCCGGCUUGUCACCGGCAGUCUCCUUAGAGUGCUCUUGCGUAGCAACUAAGGACAAGGGUUGCGCUCGUUGCGGGACUUAACCCAACAUCUCACGACACGAGCUGACGACAGCCAUGCAGCACCUGUGUGCCGGCUCUCUUUCGAGCACCCCGGCCUCUCAGCCAGGUUCCGACCAUGUCAAGGGUAGGUAAGGUUUUUCGCGUAGCAUCGAAUUAAUCCACAUCAUCCACCGCUUGUGCGGGUCCCCGUCAAUUCCUUUAAGUUUUAAUCUUGCGACCGUACUCCCCAGGCGGUCAACUUCACGCGUUAGCUUCGUUACUAAGGAUAGCUAUCCCCAACAACUAGUUGACAUCGUUUAGGGCGUGGACUAC